RNAcentral lists this ribosomal RNA (422 nucleotides) under uncultured bacterium. RNAcentral's name for it is "bacterial SSU rRNA". It matches the Rfam family "Bacterial small subunit ribosomal RNA", at positions 355 to 774 of the family's 1533-position model. The record is from RNAcentral.
UGAGGAAUAUUGGGCAAUGCCCGCAAGGGUGACCCAGCAACGCCGCGUGGAGGAUGAAUGUCGUAAGAUUGUAAACUCCUGUUAGAGGGGAAGAAUAGUACCGGUUGGACCGGUAUAUGACUGUACCCUCAGAGAAAGCCCCGGCUAACUACGUGCCAGCAGCCGCGGUAAUACGUAGGGGGCAAGCGUUGUCCGGAUUUACUGGGUUUAAAGGGUGCGUAGGUGGGCUUAUAAGUCAGUGGUGAAAUCUCCGAGCUUAACUUGGAAACUGCCGUUGAUACUAUAGGUCUUGAAUUAUCUGGAGGUCAGCGGAAUAUGUCAUGUAGCGGUGAAAUGCUUAGAUAUGACAUAGAACACCAAUUGCGAAGGCAGCUUACUACAUAUAAAUUGACGCUGAGGCACGAAAGCGUGGGGAUCAAACA